This 465-nucleotide ribosomal RNA is filed under the name uncultured bacterium. RNAcentral describes it as "bacterial SSU rRNA". It matches the Rfam family "Bacterial small subunit ribosomal RNA", at positions 28 to 507 of the family's 1533-position model. The record is from RNAcentral.
GACGAACGCUGGCGGCGUGCCUAACACAUGCAAGUCGAGCGGGAAAGUUCUUCGGAACUUUUCUAGCGGCGGACGGGUGAGUAACGCGUGAGCAAUCUGUCCCAUACAGGGGGAUAACAACUGGAAACAGCUGCUAAUACCGCAUGAGACCACAGAGCCGCAUGGUUCAGGGGUCAAAGGAGCAAUCCGGUAUGGGGUGAGCUCGCGUCCGAUUAGCUGGUUGGUGAGGUAACGGCCCACCAAGGCAACGAUCGGUAGCCGACCUGAGAGGGUGAUCGGCCACAUUGGAACUGAGACACGGUCCAAACUCCUACGGGAGGCAGCAGUGGGGAAUAUUGGGCAAUGGGCGAAAGCCUGACCCAGCAACGCCGCGUGAAGGAAGAAGGUUUUCGGAUUGUAAACUUCUGUCCUUGGUGACGAAGGAAGUGACGGUAGCCAAGGAGGAAGCCCCCGGCUAACUACGUG